Molecule: long non-coding RNA, 743 nt
Organism: Girardinichthys multiradiatus
Lineage: Eukaryota; Metazoa; Chordata; Actinopteri; Cyprinodontiformes; Goodeidae
Exons: 3
Source: RefSeq, a predicted model, not a curated record
CUGAAUACAAGGGGUCUGAUGACGGUGAAUGACAAACCCAGGGCGUUUGGUAGAGUGGAGUCAUUCAGGUGAAAGUUAUUACACUUUUCUUCCCACACUCAGUCGCAUAACUCGGCUUCAGUGCUUCCCCCACAGGGAUUCUCCAAGGUCGAUUGUAUCUUUCCAGGAAAUGCAGCUACCAAACUUGUGUUGGAAGGAGUCUUCCCAAAGUGAUGUUUCUGCUAUAAUGAGGACGCUCUCCUGGCGUUCCUGGGUGCCUCUGUGGUGAAAGUGGACAGAAGGAAGACUGCUUGAAUAGGAUGAAUGGGCUGUGACUGUGGAGUGGACAGAUGGAAGUGGAUCCUGCUGAGAUGCAAACAGUUACUGUGUGUUUCCAUCUAACAGAAGACUGAUUGCACAGUACCUACAUCUGGCUUCCUUGUCCCUGCUGAAGAAUAGCAUCCCCACAGCAUGAUGGUGCCACCACCAUGUUUCACCAUGACAAUGGUGAGUUUAGGAAAGUGUGCAGUGUAGGUUUUGUCACACAUAACGUUUUACAUGUAGGUUUAAAAUGUCAAUUAUGAUCUCAUCUGAACAGAGCAUCUUUUUCCACGCAUCUGCAUGUCCCCUACAUUACCUUUGCAAGGCUCUGUACGUAUUUUUCAGUUUGUGCAGAACAUUAGAGUAAUGUGAUCCUACAGAAUCACUUUACGAAACACUGCCAGGCUUCUACACUUGUACAUGCAAUACUUUUAGAUUAGAAA